This is a long non-coding RNA of Paramisgurnus dabryanus, 758 nucleotides long. RefSeq lists it as uncharacterized. The record is from RefSeq and is a predicted model, not a curated record. Lineage: Eukaryota; Metazoa; Chordata; Actinopteri; Cypriniformes; Cobitidae.
UGGAAGGCAGUUAUGGGUGCCGGCCUGACCACGCCCCUCUAGGUAAUCGCUUUCACUUGCGUUCUGGUUAGGAUGAGUAUAUAUAAAGGCUGAAGGUAAGGCGACCGGAUGUCACGCUCAGCUGUUUGCAUUUUUGUCAGUAUUGCAUUGCUGUCACACGAGAGGUAUGUACUGGCGGUCAUUAUGCUUGGUCCUAUUAUUUGGUUUUAAUCAUUCUAAUAGUUGUUUUCCGUUUAGUAUAAGCUCUUGUGAAGUUGGUAUCUGUACCGCAGCAUUCUCUAUUAGAGGAUCGCAAACUUUUAGUCUCUGGUGAUUUACGUGGCAUUCCUUGAAUCGGGAGAUUGCAGGCUCAGCUGUGCUGCAGUUCCGAUAGCUUGUUUCCACACAAAAGCUCUCUUAGGCUGGCAUUUGUUGCCGUGGUGUCCUCGGCAUCUGAGCAUUACGAACGAUUGGUUCAUUUUGUAUUAGGGAAUCGCGGUGUAAUUGAGGCGUGUGCUUUUGAUCUGCGGCUUCUGUCACAAGUGGUUGAUGGGGGCGACGGAUUCGGCCGCGGAGUAUAUGCUGUGACCCAUGCAGGCUGGUGUUUGAGUUACCCGGCAUCAUGGCUUAAGGUCCUAACACUGCUGUUUUGCUUUUUGUUUAUUUUGGAUUCUUUUGUUUAGUUUAUUUCGUUUAGGUUAGUAAUUUGUGUAUUAGCUUAUCUUUGUCUCUUUUUUUUGUGUGAUAUUUAAUAUUUUCUUGGUUUCUUUUCGUUUGCU